GUAACCGGCCAAAGGGCGUGGGAUCCACCCGAACCCAUUCCGAACUCGGAAGUUAAACUACGCUCCGUUCGCGACACUAGUGUUGUCUUAGGCUACGCGAAAUCGCGAAAGCUGGUAGCC
RNAcentral lists this ribosomal RNA (120 nucleotides) under Candidatus Bathyarchaeota archaeon. Lineage: Archaea; Thermoproteati; Candidatus Bathyarchaeota. The record is from RNAcentral.